CCCUUAGAUGUUCUGGGCCGCACGCGCGCUACACUGACGAAUGCAACGAGCUUAUAACCUUGGCCGAAAGGUCUGGGUAAUCUCCAAAUUUCGUCGUGAUGGGGAUAGAUUAUUGCAAUUAUUAAUCUUCAACGAGGAAUGCCUAGUAAGCGCAAGUCAUCAGCUUGCGUUGAUUACGUCCCUGCCCUUUGUACACACCGCCCGUCGCUCCUACCGAUUGAAUGGUCCGGUGAAGCGUUCGGACCGUGGCCUUUGGACGGUUCGCCGUCUGUUGGCUGCGGGAAGUUCGUUAAACCUUAUCAUUUAGAGGAAGGAGAAGUAGUAACA
RNAcentral lists this ribosomal RNA (327 nucleotides) under uncultured eukaryote. RNAcentral's name for it is "partial 18S ribosomal RNA". It matches the Rfam family "Eukaryotic small subunit ribosomal RNA", at positions 1470 to 1796 of the family's 1831-position model. The record is from RNAcentral.